GGUAAUGUGGCUUAGUGGUAGAGUGCUUGCCUAGCAUGCAUGAUGCCCUGGGUUUGAUUCCUUAAGUACCA
Non-coding RNA from Dipodomys ordii (Ord's kangaroo rat), 71 nucleotides. The record is from Rfam. NCBI's taxonomy places the organism in Eukaryota, Metazoa, Chordata, Mammalia, Rodentia, Heteromyidae.